RNAcentral lists this long non-coding RNA (2144 nucleotides) under Homo sapiens (human). RNAcentral describes it as "HSALNT0291502". Lineage: Eukaryota; Metazoa; Chordata; Mammalia; Primates; Hominidae. The record is from RNAcentral.
GGGUUGCUGCUGCUAUUGCUGCUGCUGCUGCCGCCGGGAAGGGGUUGGGGGGGGCUCUGCUCCAGGCCUGUCUGCAGAAUCCCAGCCAGGAUUGCCUACCUGCAGAGCUCAGGUGGGUCUGCGCUCCACAGCAGCCCCAGGUGCUGACAGACCACUUCCUUUCCUUCCUGCCCUUUGUUUUGCCCAUUGUCUACGCUGGGAGUUGUUUCUCAGGGGGACUGCCAGGCAGAGGGGUUGGAAUAGCAAGUUCCUGAUUACAAAUUUCAUAAGAAGAUGGACUUGAGUCAGAAGGGGCUGUUCACACUUGCCCCCACUGGGCAGGAGCCAACUCUGUGGGUUGGGGUAAGGCACACUUUCGUGAGGAUUCCGUGAGUUACUGCAAUCAACUCUUUGAGGUGGGAAAUAUGAUGUCCAUUUUACAAAUAAGGAAAUUGAGGCCCUGAGAACUGAACUGCUGGAACCAGAACCCAAAUUUAGGCAACUGAUUGCCACUUUCUCUUGCCGCCACGUUAGAUCCAUUGUUAGGCAGUCACUGCUUACUGGUUAUGCGGCUCGGGACAAGUCACUUUCUCUCCAUGUUGGGACAAACAUUACACCACAAGCUGGUUCUCCUCACUGUCGGACUGCAUUUCGGCUUCUUGGAGAGUCUCCAACCUGCCAGGAAUGCUGCACUCUGAUACAGAAGGAGAAUCUGAGAUCUCUCAAGUGUGUUUGCUCAAAAAGGAAAAAUUGGGGAAAUCACAUAAGAAACUUUAGUAAGCUGGGUGCAGUGGCUCACGCCUGUAAUCCCAGCCCUUUGGGCGGCUGAGGUGGGUGGAUCACGAGGUCAGGAAAUCGAGACCAUCCUGGCUAACACAGUGAAAUCCCGUCUAUACUAAAAAUACAAAAAAAUUAGCAGGGCAUGGUGGUGGGCGCCUGUAGUCCCAGCUACUCGGGAGGCUGAGGCUGGCGAAUGGCGUGAACCUGGGAGGCAGAGCUUGCAGAGAGCCGAGAUGGUGCCACUGCACUCCAGCCUGGGUGAGACUCUGUUUCAGAAAAAAAAAAAAAAGAAAGAAAGAAAAAAGAAACUUAAUAAAUGUGCGCUGCCUGCAAUAGGAAAUAGGUCAGAGGCAUGUUCUGGGCAUGAGUGAGUUUAAUAUCAGCCUUGGACGAGGAGGUGAGAAAGAAGAAUGGACCCUGAGCCUGGCUUCCUGGAAAGGACAUACCAGAUGCAAGUGAAGAGAAGCAGACAGGGUUGAGAUGGAGGUCCUGAGUGGAAACAGAGGCUUACUGGAGGAGCUGGAGGAAAGGUUACUAAAUCAUCCAUGCAUACAUUCAUCCACUCAACAAAUAUUCACCCAAGUACCGUGCACGUGGCUCUGUACUGGGCAAUGGUAAAAAGACAGAUGCCCUUGAACUUCUGCAGCUCACAGCCACCAUCAACCAGUGCUUGGUGAGUGUUAACCUCCACCUUGGUCUUCUUCCGGCCCUCGAUCCUGAGCCUGCUGGACUCCUCAGCUCUUGUUGCCAUGGCCAUGAGUCUCACUGGUCACACAUGCCCUCUCCACCCAGCAAAGGAGAAAGUCACUCUCCAUCAUAUGAUUCCCAGGACUUUUAAGGGACUUGUUCUGGAUUAUGGCUGGGGCUUCAUGACUUUUUAAAGAUGUUUAACAUUUAUAGUUUUGAGCUGCACUCUGUACCCUGGCUGCAACUUCCCAGAGCUCAGGACCAGGCCUCAGGAGAAGGGAGCCUGGACGUUCAGGGCCCUCCACUACAGAGGAGUGGCUGGGAGUGUGCAAGUUUGGGAACCAGCUCCAGAAGCCUCUGAGCCCUUCUGUGGAUUGGGCUUGGAAGGAGGCCCCAGUAGGCAGGCAAGCCUUUACUCACUGAGGAUCAGGGUCUAAUAAGAUGGCCUAGCUCCGUCACUGUGGAAGCUGCCAGCCCAGCCUGUGCUUGAUGAAGCCUUUGGAAUUCUCAGGAGACUACUGCUAAAGGAGACUUUCUAUGUCAAGAAGCCCAGACAGUGUUCUCAUGUGGCCCGAAAGUCCUGAGCACCUACCAUGGGUGUACAGCAGCCCCAAGGUAGGCAGACUGAGGUCCAGAGGCCAUGGGACUCUCCGCAAACCACAGAGCAUCAGCGGUGACAGAGAUAAGAACUCAGCUCU